This 460-nucleotide ribosomal RNA is filed under the name uncultured bacterium. RNAcentral describes it as "partial 16S ribosomal RNA". It matches the Rfam family "Bacterial small subunit ribosomal RNA", at positions 338 to 795 of the family's 1533-position model. The record is from RNAcentral.
CCUACGGGUGGCAGCAGUGAGGAAUAUUGGUCAAUGGGCGAGAGCCUGAACCAGCCAAGUCGUGUGAAGGAUGACGGCCCUACGGGUUGUAAACUUCUUUUGUCAGGGAGCAAAUGGAUCCACGCGUGGGCUUAGCGAGAGUACCUGAAGAAAAAGCUUCGGCUAACCCCGUGCCAGCAGCCGCGGUAAUACGGAGGAUGCGAGCGUUACCCGGAUUUAUUGGGUUUAAAGGGUGCGUAGGCGGCAUAUCAAGUCAGCGGUAAAAAUUCGGGGCUCAACCCCGUCGUGCCGUUGAAACUGAUGGUCUUGAGAAGGCGAGAGGUAUGCGGAAUGCGUGGUGUAGCGGUGAAAUGCAUAGAUAUCACGCAGAACUCCGAUUGCGAAGGCAGCAUACCGGCGGCCAACUGACGCUGAAGCACGAAAGCGUGGGUAUCGAACAGGAUUAGAUACCCUAGUAGUC